RNAcentral lists this long non-coding RNA (1261 nucleotides) under Marmota monax (woodchuck). The record is from RNAcentral. Lineage: Eukaryota; Metazoa; Chordata; Mammalia; Rodentia; Sciuridae.
CAUCAGUAUAGAUAUAAAACUUUACAGAAUUAGAAUUUUUGUCUUAUAAUCUUUUUCACACAUAAUCUAUGGUGGAUAGUUUCCUAUAUCACUGAGCAGUCUCAUAAAAUAUUAUCUUUAGUGGCUACUAAAAAUCACCAUAUGCUUGAAAUGAUAUUUACUAAAACAAUUUUUUACUUGGGGACAGACCAUUCAGGCGGCCUGGCCUGCUAUCUAUCUUCUCAAGCAAACUACUUGGAGUUUCCUCUUAAGAAAAUUUGAAUAGGCCCAGAAAAAAUAAUUACAUGUUAUGGAUUUCAUGGUCACUCAGUAAAGGAGACAGACCUUGUAGUAUUAGCCCAAAUCCUAUAAAAUCCCAUCUUUGAAUUCCUAGCUAUUUUAUAAUCCCUUUUAAAAGCUACCUAUGGUAAGCCCCAGGCCAACAUCAUUCUAAAUGGAAAAAAUAAAUGAAAGCAUUCCCUCUAAAAACUGGAACAAGUCAGGGAUGCUCUCUUUCACCUUUCAUCACUUCUAUUUAACAUAGUUCUUAAAACACUGGCAGAGCAAUUAGACAGAUAAAAGAAAUUAAAGAAUUUGAAUAGGUAAAGAAGAACUCUAAUUAGCACUAUUUGCCAACAAUAGGAUUAUAUACCUGGAAGACCCAAAAAAUUCCUCCAGAGAACUUCUAGAACUAGUAAAUGAAUUCAGCAAAGUAGCAGGAUACAAAAUCAACACCCAUAAAUCAAAGGCGUUUCUGUAUAUCAGUGGCAAAGCCUCUGAAAGGGAAAUGAGGAAAACUACCCCAAUCUUAAUAGCCUCAAAAAAUAAAAUAAAAUACUUGGGAAUCAAAAAAAUAGGUUAAAGAUCUAUACAAUGAAAACUACAGAACCCUAAAGGAAAAAAAAAUCAAAGAAGACCUCAGUAGAUGGAAAGACAUAGACCCAGCUAUCCCUCUCCUCAGUCUAUAUGCAAAGGACUUAAAAACAGCAUACUACAGGGACACAGCCACAUCAAUGUUUAUAGCAGCACAAUUCACAAUAGCUAAAUUGUGGAACCAACCUAGAUGCCCUUCAGUAGAUGAAUGGAUAAAGAAAAUGUGGUAUAUAUACACAAUGGAAUAUUAUUCAGCAUUAAAAGAGAAUAAAAUCAUGGCAUUUGAAGCUAAAUGGAUAGAGAUGGAGAAUAUAAUGCUAAGUUAGUCAAUCCCCCCAAAAAACAAAUGCUGAAUGUUUUCUCUGAUUUAAGGAUGCUGAUUCAUAAUGGGGUUGGUGGGGGGCAUGGG